UGCAGAAUCCCGUGAACCAUCGAGUCUUUGAACGCAAGUUGCGCCCCAAGCCGUUAGGCCGAGGGCACGCCUGCCUGGGUGUCACGCAUCGUUGCCCCCCCCUCCGAAACCCCCCUCCUCUCGAAAGAGACGAUGGGACUUGGGUGUGGGCGGAUAUUGGCCUCCCGUGGGCCGAACGGCUCGCGGUUGGCCUAAAUCUGAGUCGUCGGCGAUGGGCGCCGUGACGUUCGGUGGUCGAAUAAACCUCGAGCUCUCGUCGCGCGUCCGUCGUCGGUAGAGUAAGGCUCACUGACCCUGAAGCGUUGUCAACAACGCACGCAUCGCGACCCCAGGUCAGGNGGGAUUACCCGCUGAGUUUAA
RNAcentral lists this ribosomal RNA (360 nucleotides) under Acer environmental sample. RNAcentral's name for it is "eukaryotic LSU rRNA". The stretch from base 1 to 84 matches the Rfam family "5.8S ribosomal RNA", at positions 73 to 154 of the family's 154-position model. Lineage: Eukaryota; Viridiplantae; Streptophyta; Magnoliopsida; Sapindales. The record is from RNAcentral.